GUAGGUGGCAAGCGUUGUCCGGAAUUAUUGGGCGUAAAGCGCGCGCAGGUGGUUCUUUAAGUCUGAUGUGAAAGCCCCCGGCUCAACCGGGGAGGGUCAAUGGAAACUGGGGAACUUGAGUGCAGGAGAGGAAAGUGGAAUUCCACGUGUAGCGGUGAAAUGCGUAGAUAUGUGGAGGAACACCAGUGGCGAAGGCGACUUUCUGGCCUGUAACUGACACUGAGGCGCGAAAGCGUGGGGAGCAAACAGGGAUUAGAUACCCUGGUAGUCCACGCCGUAAACGAUGAGUGCUAAGUGUUGGGGGGGUUUCCCGCCCCUCAGUGCUGCAGCUAACGCAUUAAGCACUCCGCCUGGGGAGUACGGCCGCAAGACUG
RNAcentral lists this ribosomal RNA (374 nucleotides) under uncultured organism. RNAcentral's name for it is "partial 16S ribosomal RNA". It matches the Rfam family "Bacterial small subunit ribosomal RNA", at positions 527 to 896 of the family's 1533-position model. The record is from RNAcentral.